RNAcentral lists this ribosomal RNA (499 nucleotides) under uncultured bacterium. RNAcentral's name for it is "partial 16S ribosomal RNA". It matches the Rfam family "Bacterial small subunit ribosomal RNA", at positions 30 to 523 of the family's 1533-position model. The record is from RNAcentral.
AUUGAACGCUGGCGGCAGGCUUAACACAUGCAAGUCGAGCGGGGGAAGGUAGCUUGCUACCGGACCUAGCGGCGGACGGGUGAGUAAUGCUUAGGAAUCUGCCUAUUAGUGGGGGACAACAUCUCGAAAGGGAUGCUAAUACCGCAUACGUCCUACGGGAGAAAGCAGGGGAUCUUCGGACCUUGCGCUAAUAGAUGAGCCUAAGUCGGAUUAGCUAGUUGGUGGGGUAAAGGCCUACCAAGGCGACGAUCUGUAGCGGGUCUGAGAGGAUGAUCCGCCACACUGGGACUGAGACACGGCCCAGACUCCUACGGGAGGCAGCAGUGGGGAAUAUUGGACAAUGGGGGGAACCCUGAUCCAGCCAUGCCGCGUGUGAAGAAGGCCUUAUGGUUGUAAAGCACUUUAAGCGAGGAGGAGGCUACUCUAGUUAAUACCUAGGGAUAGUGGACGUUACUCGCAGAAUAAGCACCGGCUAACUCUGUGCCAGCCGCCGCCGUAA